Molecule: long non-coding RNA, 1018 nt
Filed under: Ricinus communis (castor bean)
Lineage: Eukaryota; Viridiplantae; Streptophyta; Magnoliopsida; Malpighiales; Euphorbiaceae
Description: long non-coding RNA (RCOM_LNC001442)
Source: RNAcentral
UUCACUUGUGCCUCCAAAUUUUAUUUUAUCCACGAGCAUACUAGUUUCACAAUAUAAUACAAUUAACGUACAACAUCCGGCUUUCACAAUUAAUUUCCGUAAUAUUCGAACUUAUUUAAUUUAUCAGUCUCUUCAUUCCGAUAAUUAAUUUAUCAAUAUUCAAAUAAUUUUCCACCACACGAUAUCAAUACAAUAAUUUAUUCUGAGCUUUUAAUAAUUUAACGGUUAUAAUCAUUCAACAACUCCCAAUUUAACGAUAAUUCAACCGGAUUAAAUAUUCUAAUUUUAAUAUCAUAAUAACUAAUUAUCUGAAAAGAAUUUUAACGAACCUAUGCCACCAAAAUUCUCUAAAUAAUGGGACAAACGUUAUGCCCCUCGGCACACAAAUCGAGGCGUUGCCACCCGCGGUGGCUGAAAAAUUCGACGUCGACAAAAACACAAUCUGAGACCACCCGCUCAAAGAUCUCGAUGCGAGGAGUCUGAAUAUGCAAUUGUUUUCACCUAACUCUUCACUGAUUUUUCAAAAAAAAAAGACUAAGAAAGUUGUUGCUCCGGUGAAGCUCCUCCUCCCUUUUCCGGCGAUGGAAACUGCAAAGGAGGUCCAAAAUGGGUUGCUUGGAGCUUGAGAAAGCUAAUGGUAGCAGCCCUAUACAACCCCAACACCUGCGACAGCCCCAAGAAGCAAUGGCAGCCUAUAUCUCCUUUUUCUUUAAUUUUUCCGGCAAGAAAUGGAAGGAAAAGGAGCUGCCGUCAGCCAAGGGCGGUGGAGGACGACUGGACUAAUGCUCAGGCGGCUGGAAAAUUAUGAGGAAGGGGAGGGACAACUUGAACAGAGACGGAGACGUGAGGUGAGGUGGGUGCAAGCGGGAAGAAAAGAAAAUAAACGGGAGAGGAGGAGGGAAAUAGGUGUUUUUUAUACAAAAUAUGUAUUUAUUAUUAUUAUUAUUAUUAUUAUUAUUGUUAUUAUUUGCUUUAUUAUGUACUAUAAACACAUAUAUACACUAACACACACACAGAC